This 254-nucleotide ribosomal RNA is filed under the name uncultured bacterium. RNAcentral's name for it is "partial 16S ribosomal RNA". It matches the Rfam family "Bacterial small subunit ribosomal RNA", at positions 526 to 779 of the family's 1533-position model. The record is from RNAcentral.
CGGAGGGAGCUAGCGUUGUUCGGAAUUACUGGGCGUAAAGCGCGCGUAGGCGGUUACUCAAGUCAGAGGUGAAAGCCCGGGGCUCAACCCCGGAACUGCCUUUGAAACUAGGUAACUAGAAUCUUGGAGAGGUCAGUGGAAUUCCGAGUGUAGAGGUGAAAUUCGUAGAUAUUCGGAAGAACACCAGUGGCGAAGGCGACUGACUGGACAAGUAUUGACGCUGAGGUGCGAAAGCGUGGGGAGCAAACAGGAUU